AGCAUAUCAAUAAGCGGAGGAAAAGAAACCAACAGGGAUUGCCCUAGUAACGGCGAGUGAAGCGGCAACAGCUCAAAUUUGAAAUCUGGCUUUCGGGUCCGAGUUGUAAUUUGUAGAGGAUGCUUUUGGCGCGGUGCCUUCCGAGUUCCCUGGAACGGGACGCCUUACAGGGUGAGAGCCCCGUACGGUUGGACACCAAGCCUCUGUAAAGCUCCUUCGACGAGUCGAGUAGUUUGGGAAUGCUGCUCUAAAUGGGAGGUAAAUUUCUUCUAAAGCUAAAUAUUGGCCAGAGACCGAUAGCGCACAAGUAGAGUGAUCGAAAGAUGAAAAGCACUUUGAAAAGAGGGUUAAAUAGCACGUGAAAUUGUUGAAAGGGAAGCGUUUGCGACCAGACCUUUUCUUAGCGGAUCAUCCGGUGUUAUCACCGGUGCACUUCGCUAAGUUUAGGCCAGCAUCGGUUUCUGUAGGGGGAUAAAAGCCUUGGGAACGUAGCUCCUUCGGGAGUGUUAUAGCCCUUUGCAUAAUACCCUUCUGGGGACCGAGGACCGCGCUAUAUGCAAGGAUGCUGGCAUAAUGGUCGUCAACGACCCGUCUUGAANCACGGACCAAGGAGUCGAACAUUUAUGCGAGUGUUUGGGUGUUAAACCCUCACGGCGUAAUGAAAGUGAACGGAGGUGAGAGCCCUUACGGGUGCAUCAUCGACCGAUCCUGAUGUCUUCGGAUGGAUUUGAGUAAGAGCAUAACUGUUCGGACCCGAAAGAUGGUGAACUAUGCGUGGAUAGGGUGAAGCCAGAGGAAACUCUGGUGGAGGCUCGCAGCGGUUCUGACGUGCAAAUCGAUCGUCAAAUCUGCGCAUGGGGGCGAAAGACUUAUCGAACCAUCUAGUAGCUGGUUACCGCCGAAGUUUCCCUCAGGAUAGCAGUGUUGUUCUUCAGUUUUAUGAGGUAAAGCGAAUGAUUAGGGACUCGGGGGCGCUUUUUUGCCUUCAUCCAUUCUCAAACUUUAAAUAUGUAAGAAGCCCUUGUUACUUAAUUGAACGUGGGCAUUCGAAUGUACCAACACUAGUGGGCCAUUUUUGGUAAGCAGAACUGGCGAUGCGGGAUGAACCGAACGCGGGGUUAAGGUGCCGGAGUGGACGCUCAUCAGACACCACAAAAGGUGUUAGCACAUUUAGACAAUAGGACGGUGGCCAUGGAAGUCGGAAUCCGCUAAGGACUGUGUAACAACUCACCUAUCGAAUGUGCUAGCCCUGAAAAUGGAUGGCGCUCAAGCGUCCCACCCAUACCUCGCCCUCAGGGUAGAAACGAUGCCCUGAGGAGUAGGCGGCCGUGGGGGUUAGUGACGAAGCCUAGGGCGUGAGCCCGGGUGAACAG
This 1373-nucleotide ribosomal RNA is filed under the name Xylaria hypoxylon. RNAcentral describes it as "eukaryotic LSU rRNA". It matches the Rfam family "Eukaryotic large subunit ribosomal RNA", at positions 37 to 1435 of the family's 3401-position model. The record is from RNAcentral. Lineage: Eukaryota; Fungi; Ascomycota; Sordariomycetes; Xylariales; Xylariaceae.